UUACGACCACAUCACAUUGAAACACCGGCUCUCGUAUGAUCACCGAAGUUAAGCAAUGUUGAGCCUUGUCAGUACUUUGGGAAUACCAGGUGUUGUAAG
Non-coding RNA from Acanthosepion pharaonis, 99 nucleotides. The record is from the annotation of a GenBank genome assembly. Lineage: Eukaryota; Metazoa; Mollusca; Cephalopoda; Sepiida; Sepiidae.